ACAUGCAAGUCGAGCGGCAGCGGGAGGUGCUUGCACCUCGCCGGCGAGCGGCGGACGGGUGAGUAAUGCAUAGGAAACUGCCCGGUAGUGGGGGAUAACCUGGGGAAACCCAGGCUAAUACCGCAUACGUCCUACGGGAGAAAGCAGGGGCUCUUCGGACCUUGCGCUAUCGGAUGUGCCUAUGUCGGAUUAGCUGGUUGGUGAGGUAACGGCUCACCAAGGCGACGAUCCGUAGCUGGUCUGAGAGGAUGAUCAGCCACACUGGGACUGAGACACGGCCCAGACUCCUACGGGAGGCAGCAGUGGGGAAUAUUGGACAAUGGGCGAAAGCCUGAUCCAGCCAUGCCGCGUGUGUGAAGAAGGCUUUCGGGUUGUAAAGCACUUUCAGUGGGGAAGAAGGCCUGGCGGUUAAUACCCGUCAGGGACGACAUCACCCACAGAAGAAGCACCGGCUAACUCCGUGCCAGCAGCCGCGGUAAUACGGAGGGUGCGAGCGUUAAUCGGAAUUACUGGGCGUAAAGCGCGCGUAGGCGGCUUGAUAAGCCGGGUGUGAAAGCCCUGGGCUCAACCUGGGAACGGCAUCCGGAACUGUCAAGCUAGAGUGCAGGAGAGGAAGGUAGAAUUCCCGGUGUAGCGGUGAAAUGCGUAGAGAUCGGGAGGAAUACCAGUGGCGAAGGCGGCCUUCUGGACUGACACUGACGCUGAGGUGCGAAAGCGUGGGUAGCAAACAGGAUUAGAUACCCUGGUAGUCCACGCCGUAAACGAUGUCGCCUAGCCGUUGGGCUCCUCGCGAGCUUAGUGGCGCAGUUAACGCGAUAAGUCG
RNAcentral lists this ribosomal RNA (823 nucleotides) under Halomonas sp. MO12. Its description in RNAcentral is "bacterial SSU rRNA". It matches the Rfam family "Bacterial small subunit ribosomal RNA", at positions 53 to 867 of the family's 1533-position model. Lineage: Bacteria; Pseudomonadati; Pseudomonadota; Gammaproteobacteria; Oceanospirillales; Halomonadaceae. The record is from RNAcentral.